This 412-nucleotide ribosomal RNA is filed under the name uncultured Sinomonas sp. Its description in RNAcentral is "bacterial SSU rRNA". It matches the Rfam family "Bacterial small subunit ribosomal RNA", at positions 355 to 774 of the family's 1533-position model. The record is from RNAcentral. Lineage: Bacteria; Bacillati; Actinomycetota; Actinomycetes; Micrococcales; Micrococcaceae.
UGGGGAAUAUUGCACAAUGGGCGCAAGCCUGAUGCAGCGACGCCGCGUGGGGGAUGACGGCCUUCGGGUUGUAAAACCCCUUUCGGUCGGGGAACAAGCCCCUUGGGUGAGGGUACCCGCGGAAGAAGCGCCGGCUAACUACGUGCCAGCAGCCGCGGUAAUACGUAGGGCGCGAGCGUUAUCCGGAAUUAUUGGGCGUAAAGAGCUCGUAGGCGGUUUGUCGCGGUCUGCUGUGAAAGCCCGGGCUCAACCCCGGGUCUGCAGUGGGUACGGGCAGGCUGGAGUGCAGUAGGGGAGACUGGAAUUCCUGGUGUAGCGGUGAAAUGCGCAGAUAUCAGGAGGAACACCGAUGGCGAAGGCAGGUCUCUGGGCUGUAACUGACGCUGAGGAGCGAAAGCGUGGGGAGCGAACA